RNAcentral lists this unclassified non-coding RNA (610 nucleotides) under Hevea brasiliensis (rubber tree). The record is from RNAcentral. Lineage: Eukaryota; Viridiplantae; Streptophyta; Magnoliopsida; Malpighiales; Euphorbiaceae.
GGUGGGUUUCAUUCUUGUUUGUGGAGAUCUGACUUCUGAGAGAGUAUUCAAAUCUCUCUCUAUUUCUUUUUCCUUUUCUGGCUAGUGUUUCUUUUAGCCGUUUUACAGUUUAUACUCUUGCAGACAGAUUACACUUUUCUCUCUGAUUUUUGAUUGGGAGAGAGUACCCUUUUGCUUUAAACUGAAUCCAUUUCUUUAUCUUUCUUUCUCUCGGAAAAAUAAAUUCAGCUUCUGCAAGAAAAGAAAUUAAAAUUUUAUACAUUUUUAAUUCCUGGGUUUUCUUUCAUUAUUUCAUUUCUUUUUUCCAGUAAUUCAGAUAGAGAGCUGAGCCUGAAUUAUACAUGUUUCUUCAUUAAAGAUGAGAAUUAAGAUGCUAAGCAACACAGAUUGUAUUUAUCUUAGCUCUUUACUGUAAUUCCCAAGUGUGUUCAUCAAAUCAUUUCGAUCCCAUCAUUUCCAGCUUUUAGCUCUUUCCUUGAAUUUAUCUGGGUGAUGUUUAAUGUCUUAAUUAUGGACUGUGUGUUUAUUUUAUGUGCCAAGAAUUUGUUGAAUUUAAUUAAGAUGGGAUAAAAGAGAAAUUGUUUUUACUUUUGUUGGAAACUGUUGUUUU